CUGGUGGGGAGGUCUUCACUGCAGGGCUUUGGGAUGCCUGUGGCAAUGGGCCAUUGAGAUCAGCUGAACCCAUCAUUACAGGGUCUGGUGACAUUUGAGAAUGUGGCUGUGUAUUUCUCCCAGGGGGAGUGUGGAGGCUCCUUAGUGUAACCCAGAGGCACCAGUACUGUGAUGUUGUGUCGGAGAACUUUCAGCUCAUUGGCUCGCUGGGCUCAGCAUGCUGGAAGCUGUUUCUCUAAAGUAGAAUAGUUAUCUGCAGAAGAAGAUGGAGACUUGCUUCCAAAUCUGAGAGAUCUGUGCUGCAAUUCUCCUGUUGCUGCUUCCUGGAGGCUCCAUGUGGUGUCCUGAUUUGCCACAGACACUUCAAGUAUCAUCGAGUCUGCUGGAUCGUGAGGCCCAGGUGGUGAAGCAGACUGUACUGCAGGUGGAACCUGCUUCAGAGCCUUCUCUCCUUCUGGUUCCCACUUAAAACCAGAAGGAUGGUUCAAAGCAGUAGAUUCAGAUGUGGUGUACGUUGCCUCCAAAAUCC
This 529-nucleotide long non-coding RNA is filed under the name Equus asinus (donkey). Its description in RNAcentral is "lncRNA (ENSEASG00005028337.1)". The record is from RNAcentral. Lineage: Eukaryota; Metazoa; Chordata; Mammalia; Perissodactyla; Equidae.